Molecule: long non-coding RNA, 628 nt
Organism: Dreissena polymorpha
Lineage: Eukaryota; Metazoa; Mollusca; Bivalvia; Myida; Dreissenidae
Exons: 2
Source: RefSeq, a predicted model, not a curated record
UUGCACCAAAAGCUUCACUGAGGAAGACAAGAACACAUGUACAAGCUUGUAGGACAUGGAUCAACCAUGUAGACGCCAUCAAGUAACGUACAGAACGCUGUUGAAGCUACGAUCUUUAUUGCUGGAGACGUAAACCAGCUUGACGUGGUGGAUAAGUAACGGAGAAAGCAGAAUGUCCAGCAAUACCAUCCUUGUCAUCCUGCUCCUGCUCAUGGGUUCUGGGCUUCUGGUCAGCGGACAGCCGAUGAUAUAUGAACCCACUGACUAUUUCGGAGGGGUCGGUGGAUCGGACGGGCUGCCAGUGUUCGGAGGCGCGGGGGCUGGCGAAGUUUUUGCAGAAGGGAUCAACUAUUUCGGACAAGGAGAAAUGCCACUCAAUAUCUUCUAAAGUUCAUGGAAUUUCAAAUGGAACUUGAGUGAGAUAUGUGAUGGAUUUUGAACUUUAAAUAUGCUGUUAACAAGUAUUUGAUAAUAUUGGCGUUUGCAAGAAAAACUUGACACGAAUGAAAUCCAAUACAAAUUUUUAUUUUUAGCAUGUAAUUCACGUUUUGCUUUAAAACUAAAUAUUUCAAGAGGUGUUGUUAUGAUUCCGAUGCCCAUUAUUCCAAUAAAACGUUUUAAGACCAUC